GGAUUCAGAUUUCCUCCUUUCCCCUGACAGAUUAGCUACCUGUCACAGGAAACCACUGUAACAGUGGGAGGUUGUUGUUUGAUUGAAUUCAGACAAAAUUUGUGUUCACAAAUCGUCGCAUUUGUGAUUUUAAAGUCUGCAGUUGAAUCUGCUGUUGAGGGAUUUGUCACUUUGAUUCUUGUCUCUAUAGUCUGCUACGAAGUUCUAGUAACUAUAUGGGAUUCAGAUUUCCUCCUUUCCCCUGACAGAUUAACUACCUGUCACAGGAAACCACUGUAACAGUGGGAGGUUGUUGUUUGAAUGAAUUCAGACAAAAUUUGUGAUCACAAAUCGCCGCAUUUGUGAUUUUAAAGUCUGCAGUUGAAUCUGCUGUUUAAGAAUUUGUCACUUUGAUUCUUGUUCCUGUAAAUGAUUUUAUUGAACCAAUCUGCCUGAGCAGAUGGUGUAAAGUUCUAUGUUUGAGGGUGCAGACGCAGCCUGCUGUGAAAUGUUAACCCUUUGUUGUCAGUGGAGAGACUGACCAUUUGGCCUUAAGCAGAUAAGGCCCUUCAAGGAGGCAGAGCCUAAAGGCCCCUUCCUGCACACUUCCCAACUCCUCACAGCCACAAGAGGCUAGUUGGAUGACUGUUUCCUCUUUUCUUCUUCUUCUCCACUUGUGUUGAGCUUGUGCAGCUAUCCCAACUCCAUACUGCCCCACAUGGUUGCUUUUGGUAUUGAGCUAACACUGCUAUUAUCUGCCUGUAGUAUCAGCCAGCUGUACUGCCUCUCUGUAGUCAGUGUGUAACACUCUACAGACAUAAUUCAAGUGAGUGACUUGGUUGAUGAAGUUUGAUGUGCUUAUUCUAAAUCAUUGAUCAUUGAUUUUUGAUUUUUAUCUUUGUUAUAAGAGCCUCCAUAAUGUAUUGAUAAAGUAACUCCUUGAAUCAAUCACCUGAUCUUGUUGUUACUUAUCACACCAUUGAGCAGUUUACUGUUCCCUAUAAUACAUGAAUGUAUUAACCCUUCUCAUAAGAUUAAUUAAUUAAUGCACAAAUUAAUUAAUAUUUGAAAUUUCUUUUAACAUUCCAGAUGGAUUUGGGUAGUUGAACCUUUGGAUUUAUUGCAAUUUGUGAAUUAAUUUCAGAGUUAAUUCCUUAAAUUGACAAUUUCAUUGAUUUUUCAAAUUCAUCCAACUGCACCAGGCAGUUUAUUUAAGCUUUGCUGAUCUCUGCAACACGGAGACAAAUUGAACCCUUUAUUCAAUGGUUCUGUAUCUGAUGUUAAAUUUAAUUUAACAUUAUUUCACCUUGUUUUAUUUCAAUUUUCAUUGAAAUGAAUUUAACUUUAUGUUAUUUUUCUCUCCAUUAGAGAUCUACUCAGAUAGGCUCUUCCUCUUUAUCAAGCACAGAUAAAUUAAGUCGAUUAACCCACUUAAUUUGAUAUUUUGCUUCUUCCUUUCAUUUUAAGCCAACUCAAACUCAUCAACCAACCACCUGCACCUCUUUACCAAAACCAAACAUGCCUAACACAAAAGAGUCCAGCCAGGGAGACCCCCUGAGGGACAUACACACAGUGUUGGCAAACUUGACUAGUCAGCUGAUACUUCAGUACAUGACUAAGAUUCAAAAGGCCAAACCCUCCAAUCCGGAGGAUGCAAUGGCUGACUUACUGGAAACAGCUUUAACCACGACACUUCGUGACAAAGAGCUCACUAGAUGCAUGUCUGUCGUGAUGUCUUCUCAGCUUGAGUAUAAAGACUACUUGCUGGAAUGCGCUUUAGCAAAGAUAAAGGCGCAAAAAGACGAAAACAGCGCUCUGAAAAAGACGCUAGAGGAGACUAAGAAGUCUCUAAGUGUUUUAGGAAAACAUAGUGCCAGAUGUGAAGCGUCAAAGCUUCCCUCACUGAUAAGUCAUGAAGAAAAUCUUGAUCUUAAAGACAAGAUUGAAAGACUUAAUGAAACCCUUUACAAAAAGGAGAAAGAACUUGAUGACACGAAUAAGCAGCUUGCUAAGACCACAGAGGAUCUGAUACAGUCAGAAUCCCUACUAGAGCAAGCAACAGAAGAUGUAAAAACUUUGAAAGCACUGGUCAAAGUGCGUGCUGAAGCUCUUGAAGCUAAGGAGAAGCAAACUUCUACCUUACAGCACCAGCUCCAGAUAGCUCAAAGACAGUUAAUUCUUUGUCAAGAACGGCAAGAAAAGACAGACAAAGAACUUGAAGAUGCCCAAAGAGAGUUACAAUGCUCCCUCCAGUCAGGUCGAGCCCAAAGAGAACGCAUGGAGCAAACGUUUCUUGAAGAAAUGAUAGGUGAUCAGCCUCCUGAGAGAGCGCCAUCACUUCCUUCCAAACCAACUCUUAAGUAUCUCUCUCAGCAUCAUGACAGGACCCUGCUUGACCCUGAGAGGUCAUCCUUAAACCAAGAGUCCUACUCUCCUCCUCAUGAUGGUUUUUUACCAUUUCCCUCAGACAGGGAUCUUGACAAAAUUGCUCGCAUCAUAGCACGCUUUGAACCUGAGCACCAAGGUGCUACUGACACCUGCACCUACUUGAAAGACAUUGACUUUUACCUGCGGAAAUUUCCAGGUGCAACCGUUGAUGACAAAAUCUACCUUAUUAAGGCGACGUCAAGUCGAGAGGUUAGCAGUUUCCUAGAACGACAGCCUUAUCAUGUCAGAAAUAAUUAUGACUUGCUCUGCCAAGCAUUAAUUGAAGAGUUUUCUGACUAUUUGACCCAGACAGGCCUCUCUGCUGCUCUGUCUAUUAAACAAGGGAGAUCAGAACCUCCCCAACAUUAUUACAACCGCUUACGCGAAGCUUACUUUGGUUUCCGAAAUGAACCAGAAAUGGAGGAGGACUUGAACUUCAAAACGCUGUUCGUCCAGAACCUCCACCCUACCACCAGUCAUCACCUUGGCGUCUUAGCUUGUCCAAACACUUCGACUAGCCAACAGCUUCGUGAACUUGCUGUAAAAGGUUUUGCCAAACAACGACAAACUUUGGCUAAGAAAGCAGAGCCCGUUACUCUCUUGGCUAUGGAGACAAAAUCACUGCCCAUGGAGCUGAACGAAGCUUCAGACUGUGUUUUUUCAGGCUCCGAUAAGCCUCCAAAUGAGUGGUUAACCAGGCCUCCAAAACCUUUUCGACCUCAACAAACUCACAAAGGUCAAAGUUACACACCAAGGCCCAGGUCUGACCCAGACCAAUGCCAGGUAAACUUUGAGACCAACUGUUGUUAUUCAGACUCCCGUCACGGUGGGUUUUAUCCCAGACAAAGGAAAAACCAUCAACACCGCCAAAGUGGGGUGAAUGACUGGCAGAAUCAGAGUAAAUCACACUCUCAGAAACGACGAUCUUAUUAUCCACCUCAAUCGGUUUCAUCCACUUUGAAGGUGAAUAAACAUGACUACUCAGCUAACCACUGAGAUUAACACUGUGGAGUCAUGAAGGUGUGAGUCCUGCGAAAGCAGAAGUCACCUAGCCAAAGCUAAAUGACUCCAAUAAGAUAUCCAAAUGCUGUGGUGAUACAUUGAUGACUGCAAUACCAGUUGCUGCUUUCUUUGUUAGCAUUUGUCUCUCCUCUG
This 3561-nucleotide long non-coding RNA is filed under the name Xyrichtys novacula (pearly razorfish). The record is from RNAcentral. Lineage: Eukaryota; Metazoa; Chordata; Actinopteri; Labriformes; Labridae.